AACACAUGCAAGUCGAACGGCAGCGUGCCUUCGGGUGACGGCGAGUGGCGGACGGGUGAGUAAUGCGUAAGGAUCUGCCUGAAAGACCAGGACAACCCCAGGAAACUAGGGCUAAUACUGGAUGUGCACUAAGGUGUAAAGUUUGGGACUAUUUAUAGCCAGACACUUUCAGAUGAACUUGCGUUAGAUUAGCUAGUUGGUAGGGUAAUGGCCUACCAAGGCAACGAUCUAUAGCUGUUCUGAGAGGAAGACCAGCCACACUGGGACUGAGACACGGCCCAGACUCCUACGGGAGGCAGCAGUGGGGAAUAUUGGACAAUGAGGGAAACCUUGAUCCAGCAAUACCGCGUGUGUGAAGAAGGCCUUAGGGUCGUAAAGCACUUUUAUUAAGGGAAGAAGACAAUAUUGUUAAUAGCAACAUUGUUUGACAUUACCUAAAGAAAAAGCACCGGCUAACUCUGUGCCAGCAGCCGCGGUAAUACAGAGGGUGCAAGCGUUAAUCGGAAUUACUGGGCGUAAAGAGUACGUAGGUGGUGAUGUAAGUUAGAUGUGAAAGGCUUGGGCUCAACCUAAGAAUUGCAUCUAAAACUGCAACACUAGAGUUUUAUAGAGGUAAGUGGAAUUUCCGGUGUAGCGGUGAAAUGCGUAGAUAUCGGAAGGAACAUCAGUGGCGAAGGCGGCUUACUGGGUAAUAACUGACACUGAGGUACGAAAGCGUGGGUAGCAAACAGGAUUAGAUACCCUGGUAGUCCACGCCGUAAACGAUGAGAACUAGCUGUUAGAAUGUUAAUUUUAGUAGCGCAGCUAACGCAAUAAGUUCUCCGCCUGGGGAGUACGGCCGCAAGGCUAAAACUCAAAGGAAUUGACGGGGGCCC
This 875-nucleotide ribosomal RNA is filed under the name metagenome. RNAcentral describes it as "bacterial SSU rRNA". It matches the Rfam family "Bacterial small subunit ribosomal RNA", at positions 50 to 922 of the family's 1533-position model. The record is from RNAcentral.